UACGUAGGGGGCAAGCGUUGUCCGGAAUCAUUGGGCGUAAAGAGCGUGUAGGCGGCUCGAUAAGUCUGCUGUGAAAGUCCAGGGCUCAACCCGGGAAGUGCGUUGGAAACUGCGAGACUAGAGUCUCGGAGAGGAAGGUGGAAUUCCAGGUGUAGCGGUGAAAUGCGUAGAUAUCUGGAAGAACACCGGUGGCGAAGGCGGCCUUCUGGACGAUGACUGACGCUGAGACGCGAAAGCGUGGGGAGCAAACAGG
RNAcentral lists this ribosomal RNA (253 nucleotides) under uncultured bacterium. RNAcentral describes it as "partial 16S ribosomal RNA". It matches the Rfam family "Bacterial small subunit ribosomal RNA", at positions 524 to 776 of the family's 1533-position model. The record is from RNAcentral.